RNAcentral lists this unclassified non-coding RNA (234 nucleotides) under Ascomycota sp. RNAcentral's name for it is "partial contains small subunit ribosomal RNA, internal transcribed spacer 1, and 5.8S ribosomal RNA". The stretch from base 1 to 47 matches the Rfam family "Eukaryotic small subunit ribosomal RNA", at positions 1785 to 1831 of the family's 1831-position model. The record is from RNAcentral. Lineage: Eukaryota; Fungi; Ascomycota.
AAAGUCGUAACAAGGUUUCCGUAGGUGAACCUGCGGAAGGAUCAUUACAGAGUUCAUGCCCUCUCGGGUAGAUCUCCAUCCUUGUAUAUCUUACAUUGUUGCUUUGGCAGGUCGUCCGCAAGGCCACUGGCUUCGGCUAGUGAGUACCUGCCAGAGGACCCAAAAAUCAUCUUUAUAUGUCGUCUGAGAAAUAUAUAAUAUUUAAAACUUUCAACAACGGAUCUCUUGGUUCUG